GCAGCGGGGGUGGGAGCUGCGGACGGCCAUGUGCGCGGCGGAGAGGCCGGGUGGCCACCGAACCUUCCCGCCUGUUCUGCGGGGCGUCUGGGCAUGGCUUUCCCAACCUAGUAACUGCAACUUUUAGCAUCCUACAUGUAGGACUUGGGAAUAUGUGAGACAGCGCCAAGAAUUUAAUCCAGGAGAAUUGACAAGCUUAAAUGAAAUCCAUAUUGCCCACUGAUUUUGUGCAGCUUCAGAUAAGUAAUCUUUCUCCACUUAGCCUUUUGUAACAAUUGAUGUAAUAAAGGUUUGUAGUCUUUGUGUAAUUUAUUAAAGCAUUGUGCCUAAAAUAGAAAAAAAGCAUAGGAACCAUAGGCUGUGUUUUCUUUUGAUUUAAUAUUUUCAUUUCUUCAGUUAAUAGAAAUUUGCCAAAUUCUGAUGUUUUUCUGUAGCAUUAUUUGAAUGAGCAUUGUUUAUUUGAGUGAACAUUCAGCUAAUUGUUACAGAAUCGUUGCCCCCAUUAAUCUUAGGCUGUAGAAUGUAGACAAGUAAAUAGGCAUCAUCAGUAUGAUGAGAGUGAAGCUACUUAAUACUGUGGAAUCAAAUAAAGGAGGAACCCCUUACUAAACCAAGAGGGAGGAAUAAAAUGGAAUGGGACUAGAGAAGCAAUUAGCUUUAAUAAGGGUAUUAUGGAAGACUUUCUAGAUGAGAAGCAGUAAGUACAGAUGUUUGGAGGCAAACACUAGAGAGAUUGUUGGGUAAAGAAGACAAUGCUGGAGGUCUACUUGUGAAGGCCUUGAAUGCUAUGUGCAGAAGUCAGCUUCUGAGAACCAGGAAGAAGAUAUUGAAAGAUUUUAAGUAGAAGAAUCAUAGGAUUGAAUUCAUUUUAGACAGAUCACUGUUACACAAAAAUUUGAGGCAAACAGAAGAGUUUGGAGUAAACAGUAGGCUGUGAGCCAGUAAUGACUUGGACUGAGUUGGUAGCAGGUAGGUGUGAAGAAAAUAAAGUGGUUAUUGGGAGAUUUGGUUAACUGAAAAUGACUGAGGGAGAUAGAUGUCAGGUGACUCCCAAGUGAGUUGGUGGAGCAGCUAGGAGGAUAGUAAUGUCUUCACUGAGAUUAGAAACAAAAUAAGAGAA
RNAcentral lists this long non-coding RNA (1120 nucleotides) under Homo sapiens (human). RNAcentral's name for it is "HSALNT0381289". The record is from RNAcentral. Lineage: Eukaryota; Metazoa; Chordata; Mammalia; Primates; Hominidae.